Molecule: ribosomal RNA, 395 nt
Filed under: uncultured soil bacterium
Lineage: Bacteria
Description: bacterial SSU rRNA
Rfam family: Bacterial small subunit ribosomal RNA
Source: RNAcentral
AGAAUCAACGCUGGCGGCGUGCCUAACACAUGCAAGUCGAACGCGAAAGUCCCGCAAGGGAUGAGUAGAGUGGCGAACGGGUGAGUAACGCGUGGGUGACCUGCCUUCGAGUGGGGGAUAACGUUUCGAAAGGGACGCUAAUACCGCAUGACAUCCGGCCUUUGGAGAGGCGGAGAUUAAAGCUGGGGAUCGCAAGACCUGGCGCUUAGAAGACGGGGCCCGCGUCCGAUUAGCUAGGUUGGUGGGUAAUGGCCUACCAAGGCGACGAGUCGGUAGCCGGCCUAAGAGGGCGGACGGCCACACGUGGGACUGAGACGACGGCCCAGACCUCCGUACGGGAGGCAGCAGGUGGGGAAUUGGUUCGACAAGUCGGGCGCCGAAAGCCUAGGACGACG